Portunus trituberculatus (swimming crab) is the source of this 1306-nucleotide long non-coding RNA. RefSeq lists it as uncharacterized. Lineage: Eukaryota; Metazoa; Arthropoda; Malacostraca; Decapoda; Portunidae. The transcript is spliced from 2 exons. The record is from RefSeq and is a predicted model, not a curated record.
GCGGCGGUCAGUCUCGCCUGAAAGCCUCGGGGUGCUCCGCGGGCAACAUCCCCGAGAGGCGCUGGUGGCAAGGACGUGUCAGUAAUUGGAGGCGUUCCCAGCGGCCUGAAUGAGCUGUUGGCCACGGCUGCCACCGAGGCUGUGCAGGACGCAGGGCAUCAACAUUCACAUCACUUUGUCACUCAUCAAUGCUUCCCUCCUUACUGAGAGGGCAGCUCAGGAAUGACAAGUGUGGUGAGAGGCGGCGGCGCUCUGCAGUGUGUCGACAGGGCGAUGUGGUGAUGUGGUGAUGUGGUGGUGGGGUGGUGUGGUAAUGCUAGCAGUAUGUGGUGCAGAUAAUGGUGUUGAUUGUGUGUGGUGCGUGAUAGCGGUGAUGUGAUUCAUAAUGAUUUUAGUGUAAUGAAGAGUGACGUUAGUUAUUGAAACAGUUAAUUUGUCUCAAGACACAAACAUAUAAACAGGUUCUUGAUUGCUCCAUUUACUGCAGGACUGAGUAAAAGGUGCAUUCCUUACGAGCCUUUCGCUUCGCCUUUCUCAUUCAUAUUGUAUUGAUUGUACGAGCACGAACCAGCGGGACGUGUCACUAUUGUUUAGGUGACAUGCAUGGCUUUAUGUUACUGCUGUGUUCGCCUCAUGUGCUACGUUCACUGAACUAUCAUGUACUCAGAGUUAAUUAAGACCAUUGCCAUAUUUUCCGAUAAAACGCAUUUCUUCUAGCAUAAUUUCCAUCUACCUCAGCUUCAGGGUUCCGAUUAGUGAUAUGUAAACUUUACGUAGGUUGACCACAAGGGGCACUCGGGGUCAGACAUUGGAAGGUAUCCCUUGGAUCAGCGUGGAGGCAGCAGGACUGACAGACAUGCUGGCCUGAGCGGCGGUUGGUCUGUGGUUGCGGUGUCGGUAUUAAUGGCAGCCUCCAGGCCAUUGCACGCCUUGAUUGCAAUGUUUGACGCCACUUGGACGCAGGCAAUGCAGCUCCUCCAUCACUAUUACGCGGACUGGUGCUGCGGGUUGACACAAGCACCGAGACAGUCCGUCUCUCCCCGGACAAGACGAGAAUGAAGCGACUUAAGCGGUACGGAAUUAGCGGCCGCGAGUAUCUGGGUCAAGGCAUUGGCAGUCAAGGAGUAUGCAUGACCAUCCUGUAAUGAUCCGUGCAACCAAAUCUGCCCUCCGAUGCGGGCUGACUAACGAACACCAUCAUUGACAGUAAUAAAUAGUAGUGAAGCUGCCAUUACGCAUCCAGUGGUGUAGGCAGUGUACUAGACGGUAUAGACUAGUAAAAUAAAACAAUCUUAGAAGGAUGUAA